This 278-nucleotide ribosomal RNA is filed under the name uncultured bacterium. RNAcentral's name for it is "partial 16S ribosomal RNA". It matches the Rfam family "Bacterial small subunit ribosomal RNA", at positions 29 to 334 of the family's 1533-position model. The record is from RNAcentral.
AGCGAACGCUGGCGGCAUGCCUAACACAUGCAAGUCGAACGAGACCUUCGGGUCUAGUGGCGCACGGGUGCGUAACGCGUGGGAAUCUGCCCUCGGGUUCGGAAUAACUCGCCGAAAGGGGUGCUAAUACCGGAUGAUGUCGUAAGACCAAAGAUUUAUCGCCCAGGGAUGAGCCCGCGUAAGAUUAGGUAGUUGGUGAGGUAAAGGCUCACCAAGCCGACGAUCUUUAGCUGGUCUGAGAAGAUGAUCAGCCACACUGGGACUGGGACACGGCCCAG